GAUGUACUCCCUCUGUCCGAAAAUACUUGUCAUCAAAAUAAAAAAAAAAGGAUAUAUCUAAAUUUAUUUUAGUUGGAGAUACAUCUCUUUUUGUUUAUUUUGAUGACAAGUAUUUUUGGACGGAGGGAGUAUAUC
Non-coding RNA from Triticum aestivum (bread wheat), 135 nucleotides. The record is from Rfam. NCBI's taxonomy places the organism in Eukaryota, Viridiplantae, Streptophyta, Magnoliopsida, Poales, Poaceae.